GAUUGAAUAUGUGAUUAGUUGAUACAAAUCCAAAAUUGAAUCUAUCUGAUAUCUCCAGCAACUUUCAUUUCUGCUCUCGAAUUCUCAGCGAAUUUGAACCUCACACAUCCCCUCUAUGAUUUGCUGUCUUGCGGGUCCCAUCUCAACAACCCUCCACUUCCAGAAUGAUUUUCCUGCUCAUCUGUCCAUGUUUUGAACCAAAUUUUCGCUUUCAAUCUCAUUACAUUUCUCUUGCACACCCUAUAAUUGCCUAAUUACUAUCGACUCAAAUCUCCUUCAAUCACCAUUUUCGAAAUUGGGUUUGUUCAUCUCGCCUUUUCCUGCACUGGGUCAGUACUGUUUUGCACUAGAAAUCCCAGUUUGAUGAACCUUUUAAAAGCCGUUAGGUCUGUUGCAUUUUUGAGGCAAUUUAUCAAGCACUAAAAUGGCGUCUAUAGGUUCAGUUCGUUUUAUUAUCGAAACCAAAACAGAAAGUUCUGUCUUUCUCCAUGGCAAAAACCAACAGCGAUCCAGAUUUCCCGUUUUCGCAUAUAGACCAAAAAAUGCUUUUAAUUUUGCUGUUUCGUUAUCUUUGAGGUUCAAGCCUGUAAGAGCUACCGGUAAGGAAGAUAUUAGUGGUGAUGGGUCAGAGGAUACACUUCAAGCCACCAUUGAAAAAAGCAAGAAAGUUCUUGCCAUACAAAGAGACCUACUUCGGCAGAUUGCUGAACGAAGGAAAUUGGUUUCUUCCAUACAAAGUAGUGUUGGUGACCAUGAAGUAGACAGAACUUCUCAUGAACAGAGGGAGAACUCUUUGCCAAAUUCAGGUAAUACUUCAACUAUAGAUGUGAAUAUGCUUGAACAACAAAAUGGCGCCGUUCUUCCGAGUAGUGUCCAUGCAACUGCAGAUGAGGUACCAGAAACUUCAUCUUCAGCUAUUAGUGGAGGUCAUGCUAAAGUUGAAAAGGAACUUGAACAAAAUGUAUCUCCUACAACAGCUUCCUUUGUUAAGAAUUCAACCAAACUCUUAAAAGAGAUGAAUUCAGAAAAAGUUUGGUCAGAUGAGAUACCAUCUUUUCUUUCAAGCACCUCAGAAAUUUCCACUAUAAAUGAUGAAAAUAAUGGAGGUUCAAAUGAAUCAACUUCACCUAAGGUUGACAAUGUUGAAAGUGAUUCUAUGACUGAAGACACAAAACCACCUCCUUUGGCUGGGGCCAAUGUCAUGAAUGUUAUUUUGGUAGCUGCAGAAUGUGCUCCAUGGUCCAAAACAGGUGGCCUUGGAGACGUUGCUGGGUCUUUACCGAAGGCUUUAGCUCGGCGUGGACAUCGGGUUAUGGUUGUGGCACCUCGGUAUGGUAACUAUGCUGAACCUCUGGAUACUGGAGUUCGAAAGAGGUAUAAGGUGAAUGGUCAGGAUUUUGAAGUAUCAUACUUCCAAGCGUUCAUUGAUGGGGUUGAUUUUGUAUUCAUUGAGAGUCCUAUCUUUCGCCACAUAGAGAAUAAUAUAUAUGGAGGAAACAGAUUGGUAAUAUAACUUUCCUUCUCAGCUUAAACCAAAUGGUUGCACAUUAAAACUUCUUUUCCAUAUUUUAUCAAUAAAUCACUAUAACCUGUGCCACUUACAACUUUAGAUCUCUUCUUUAUCUUGAGUUCUUUAGGAGUUGAAUGUUAAUGACUUGCUGGAAAAAAGAGGCCCCAUAAGGCUUUAUCUCUUGAUUGGUGUAUCAUUUGUCGAAAGAAUAGUAUCAUUCACAUUUGCUUUGACAUUGUGACGUCACUUUCGUUAUCUAGAGCCAUUUAUUUGGGCCUGAGUGGAUUUGGAUUGGUCUAGACACCUUGGAGUUGUUGAAUUGAAAUGGAGAGGAUUUGGUAAUAGAAAGAAUGCCAAAGUCGAUUGGAUUUUUUUUUUUUUUUAGAGUAUUUGAAUGGAGAGAAAUGCCCACAGUUUUUACUGGCCUGACCUUUGCUUGCAGUUUGUUAUGGGACAAGGUGUUUUUCCUGGGUUCUUUGUGGGCUUCUGCUUCUGGGAAUUUUAGAGCAUUUUUAAGUACUACUCAGUACAAUUAGAGGGUACUACUUAAUUAGUUGUUAGCUUUCUUUAUUUAUUGCUAAGUUUAGGAGGUACCAUAACCUCCAAUUUGAAAUGCUUGUUUUGUUUUUAUCUCCUUAAUAAUAUUUCUUUUUCUUUCAAAAAAUUUUGAGUAUAUUGAUUUUUAUCAUGUGAUUAGCAUUUAAACUUCUUGAUUUAUUUUGAUCAGCUAAUCAUUGUAAAACUGAAGACUGCCAUCUCCUCGGUUUAAUGGUGCAGGAUAUAUUGAAGAGGAUGGUAUUAUUUUGCAAAGCUGCUGUUGAGGUUCCAUGGCAUGUCCCAUGUGGUGGAGUCUGCUAUGGGGAUGGAAAUUUGGCUUUCAUUGCAAAUGAUUGGCAUACAGCACUGGUGCCAGUGUAUCUGAAGGCAUAUUAUCGAGACAAUGGUGUAAUGCGAUAUGCAAGAUCUGUUUUCGUAAUUCAUAACAUUGCUUACCAGGUUUGUUCUCUGUUCAAUAUACUCCAAUAGUAAUGUGUUCAUCAAUAAGGCACUGAUAUUACCUGAACUAUUUCUUUCUUGUCUGGUUGAAACAAUUUUUUAAUAGUGCCUUAAUAACUGAAGGGGAAAUGUGCUUAACUGAGUUUUGUUUUGUCAACGGGCAUUAUCUAAGAAGUUUUUCUAUUCAUGCUAAAUUUGCACUUUAUUGCUAGUUGGCUUCCCUUACACAAUACGUCCUGGAGACAAGAAUCGUCAUGUGUUUGGGGAGCUGCAAAUCAUACCUAGCUAGUCAAUAAAGCAGCAAGACCUAAAAAAAUGUUGGACAAAAUUUUCAGGAUUGUACUGAAGAACAAUUUUCAAAAUAAAAUAGAGUUUUUGAUAUUAGAGUCAAUCUUCUUCAUCUAAUUGCACUUAAGAUCAUGAAUGUAUCCUUCAAUAAUAAUGUAGAAAAGCAACAUAUUGAUAAAGGCCUUGAUUAUUCAAAUUUUCUAAUCAGUUCUUGUACAGGUUUCACUUAUUUGUGAAAUUUUGUUGAGUAUCUGAUCGUAGACCUGACAUCAUGAGCAAUUCUUUGAACUUUGAAUUCAUUGAUAUAUUACCCAGGUCCCCUUAUCAUACAGAUCGAAACAUUUGCUAGUUUUGAACUUUGAACAUUUUGUAUUGUAUCUAGGGUCGGGGUCCUGUCGACGAUUUCUCUUAUAUGGAUCUACCAGAACACUACAUUGAUCUCUUCAAACUGUAUGACCCUGUUGGUGGUGACCACUUCAAUAUCUUUGCAGCUGGUCUUAAGACAGCAGAUCGUGUGGUUACUGUUAGUCAUGGAUAUGCCUGGGAGCUUAAAACAUCCGAAGGUGGUUGGGGUCUGCACAACAUCAUAAGUGAGAAUGACUGGAAAUUGAGGGGCAUUGUUAAUGGGAUUGAUGCAAAAGAAUGGAACCCACUGUUUGAUAUUCACCUGACAUCAGAUGGUUAUACUAAUUACUCCCUGGAAACACUUGAUACUGGCAAGCCUCAGUGCAAAGCAGCCUUACAGAAGGAGCUUGGUUUGCCCAUACGUCCAGAUGUCCCUGUUAUUGGGUUCAUUGGAAGGUUGGAUCACCAGAAGGGUGUUGAUCUCAUAGCUGAGGCGGUUCCCUGGAUGAUGGGUCAAGAUGUGCAACUGGUCAUGUUGGGUAGUGGUAGACAAGACUUGGAAGAUAUGCUUAGAAAAUUUGAAAGCCAACAUACUGGCAAAGUAAGGGGAUGGGUUGGUUUUUCUGUGAAGACGGCUCACAGGAUAACAGCCGGUGCAGAUAUUUUGCUCAUGCCAUCAAGAUUCGAACCGUGUGGGCUAAACCAGUUAUAUGCUAUGACCUAUGGUACAGUUCCUGUUGUACAUGCUGUUGGUGGACUGAGAGAUACAGUGCAACCUUUUGAUCCAUUUAAUGAGUCAGGGCUUGGGUGGACAUUUGAUAGUGCUGAAUCAAAUAAAUUGAUAAAUGCAUUAGGGAAUUGCUUGCUCACUUACCGACAGUACAAGAAGAGCUGGGAAGGACUGCAGAGAAGAGGGAUGACUCAAGACCUCAGCUGGGACCAUGCUGCUGAGAAAUAUGAGGAGAUUCUUGUUGCAGCCAAGUAUCAGUGGUGAGCGCGAGUGCUUUUCCACGUAGUCUGAGAUCCAAUUGACCCAAAUGCUAUUGGGGAGUGGACCUUUAUUUCUGGAAGAAUGCGGUUGAGAGAUGUUCUUCAACAGGUUGGUAUCUGAUGGUAGGAAGGGUCUAUCAUUUGAAUUGCUAGAAUAAGCAGGCCAGGUGACCUUUUAUGGUCUGCUAUAUAGCUCAUAUGUAAUCAACUUAGAAUCAGACUUCAGGAGUUGUAAUCCUUUCUGGUUUUGUCAAACAUCGGCAGAGCAUGGUUUUGGUUGUGGUGGCCUCCUUGUGGUUUAUAUUAUCUGAAACCUGGUAUCUUUUUACCCCUUAAACCUUGGAAUUGUAGGUAAAAAGGUAAUUCACUAGGCAUUGAAUAAGACAGUGGUGGAUCCCCAAUAUCAUUUAAAGGAAUUCUGAUCGAUUUAAUCGAGUAACGUGCUCUUUAUUUUGAAUCAUAAAUGAGAUAAUUAAGUGAAUUAGACAAUUCAAGUUAUUUUAUUUCUGGAAAACAAGUUUUUUACUCAUCCUUUAAAG
This 4668-nucleotide unclassified non-coding RNA is filed under the name Hevea brasiliensis (rubber tree). Lineage: Eukaryota; Viridiplantae; Streptophyta; Magnoliopsida; Malpighiales; Euphorbiaceae. The record is from RNAcentral.